GUUGAGGCCAGUUAGGAUCCGCAUGGGAUAAAGAAGUUUUGUCGUCUCGUAAUUAUAGAUAUAAUACAUAAAAUUCUACGAAUCGACGAAGUUGGAAACACAAAGCACAGUGAAGGUCAUGUGUUAUGUUUUGCUGUUUUUCUUAUGUAGCCGAGAUUAUGAGUGCAGUUGUUCGUGCCGCCAUAGAUGAAUCGAUCUUUGUUUCGAUAAAAUAAAGAAAGAAUUGUGAAGUAGAUUUGUUGUUAAUGUUUUUCGGUUAAUUUAAAUUUGUUUGCAUUUUAUGAUGUUAAACAAUUUUAGGAAUAUGUCUGUAUGAAUAAUUUGGGUGCAAAACAGUCAUACAAUCAAUAUUUGUUCGUAUAGAAUUUAUUUUUCUUUUUUUCUACAAUCAAAUAUAC
This is a long non-coding RNA of Vespa crabro (European hornet), 398 nucleotides long. RefSeq lists it as uncharacterized. The transcript has 3 exons. NCBI's taxonomy places the organism in Eukaryota, Metazoa, Arthropoda, Insecta, Hymenoptera, Vespidae. The record is from RefSeq and is a predicted model, not a curated record.